This 1243-nucleotide ribosomal RNA is filed under the name Arthrobacter sp. Its description in RNAcentral is "bacterial SSU rRNA". It matches the Rfam family "Bacterial small subunit ribosomal RNA", at positions 93 to 1347 of the family's 1533-position model. The record is from RNAcentral. Lineage: Bacteria; Bacillati; Actinomycetota; Actinomycetes; Micrococcales; Micrococcaceae.
UAGUGGCGAACGGGUGAGUAACACGUGAGUAACCUGCCCUUGACUCUGGGAUAAGCCUGGGAAACUGGGUCUAAUACCGGAUAUGACCAUUCCACGCAUGUGGUGGUGGUGGAAAGCUUUUGCGGUUUUGGAUGGACUCGCGGCCUAUCAGCUUGUUGGUGGGGUAAUGGCCUACCAAGGCGACGACGGGUAGCCGGCCUGAGAGGGUGACCGGCCACACUGGGACUGAGACACGGCCCAGACUCCUACGGGAGGCAGCAGUGGGGAAUAUUGCACAAUGGGCGGAAGCCUGAUGCAGCGACGCCGCGUGAGGGAUGACGGCCUUCGGGUUGUAAACCUCUUUCAGUAGGGAAGAAGCGUAAGUGACGGUACCUGCAGAAGAAGCGCCGGCUAACUACGUGCCAGCAGCCGCGGUAAUACGUAGGGCGCAAGCGUUAUCCGGAAUUAUUGGGCGUAAAGAGCUCGUAGGCGGUUUGUCGCGUCUGCUGUGAAAGACCGGGGCUCAACUCCGGUUCUGCAGUGGGUACGGGCAGACUAGAGUGCAGUAGGGGAGACUGGAAUUCCUGGUGUAGCGGUGAAAUGCGCAGAUAUCAGGAGGAACACCGAUGGCGAAGGCAGGUCUCUGGGCUGUAACUGACGCUGAGGAGCGAAAGCAUGGGGAGCGAACAGGAUUAGAUACCCUGGUAGUCCAUGCCGUAAACGUUGGGCACUAGGUGUGGGGGACAUUCCACGUUUUCCGCGCCGUAGCUAACGCAUUAAGUGCCCCGCCUGGGGAGUACGGCCGCAAGGCUAAAACUCAAAGGAAUUGACGGGGGCCCGCACAAGCGGCGGAGCAUGCGGAUUAAUUCGAUGCAACGCGAAGAACCUUACCAAGGCUUGACAUGGACUGGAUCGCUGCAGAAAUGUGGUUUCCCCUUUUGGGGCUGGUUCACAGGUGGUGCAUGGUUGUCGUCAGCUCGUGUCGUGAGAUGUUGGGUUAAGUCCCGCAACGAGCGCAACCCUCGUUCUAUGUUGCCAGCGGUUCGGCCGGGGACUCAUAGGAGACUGCCGGGGUCAACUCGGAGGAAGGUGGGGACGACGUCAAAUCAUCAUGCCCCUUAUGUCUUGGGCUUCACGCAUGCUACAAUGGCCGGUACAAAGGGUUGCGAUACUGUGAGGUGGAGCUAAUCCCAAAAAGCCGGUCUCAGUUCGGAUUGGGGUCUGCAACUCGACCCCAUGAAGUCGGAGUCGCUAGUAAUCGCAG